UUUUCCUACGGGGGGCAGCAGUGGGGAAUAUUGCACAAUGGGGGAAACCCUGAUGCAGCGACGCCGCGUGAGCGAUGAAGUAUUUCGGUAUGUAAAGCUCUAUCAGCAGGGAAGAAAAUGACGGUACCUGACUAAGAAGCCCCGGCUAACUACGUGCCAGCAGCCGCGGUAAUACGUAGGGGGCAAGCGUUAUCCGGAUUUACUGGGUGUAAAGGGAGCGUAGGCGGUGCAGCAAGUCAGAAGUGAAAGCCCGGGGCUCAACUCCGGGACUGCUUUUGAAACUGUUGAACUAGAU
RNAcentral lists this ribosomal RNA (295 nucleotides) under uncultured bacterium. RNAcentral's name for it is "partial 16S ribosomal RNA". It matches the Rfam family "Bacterial small subunit ribosomal RNA", at positions 334 to 646 of the family's 1533-position model. The record is from RNAcentral.